AGACAUCCAAUUCCCCCCAGAUCAAUGUCGAUCACACAAAUAAUGAUCUAGAGAGCCCAAAACUUUCCAAGUGUAUUCUUCAUCACUCUUAAACAUUGCUCCCAAGCUUCAUCUAAAUCCGUCAAAUCUUCGAUCAAGUUAACAUUCGAAGGAACAUUCAUUAGAACACAAUCGAUAUAAUCUUAUAAAAUUUCAUACCCUAAAAGUUAGACAAAUAAAUAUUUAAUUAAAAUUGAACUGAGACAAACAUAGAAAAAAUCGUCGGAUGGUUCCGAAUCAACAGCAAAUAGUUGUAUAUAUAUAUAAAUAUAUAUAUAUGUAUAUAUAUAUAUAUGUAUAUAUAUAUAUAUGUAUAUAUAUAUAUAUGUAUAUAUAUAUAUAUAUAUAUAUAUAUAUAUAUAUAUAUAUAUAUAUGUAUAUAUAUAAUACCGCUCUAACUUGAUGUUAAACCAUCGGCUAAGGAAGCCAAAACGGGCCUCCGCGAUGCUAAUGAUGGAAGCAUAACAUAUCCAAGGUCAAGCGGGAAGCAAGGGUAACACGUGAACCGUAGCCGCCCCUGCAUACCUAACCCUGUCUUUUAGUUGAUCGCAUCAUUUUGCGGGACCCAUUAGUACAAAAAUAAGAUGAUGGCCUGCACGAUAAUUGGGUAAGGCUGACACGAAAGUCCAGCUUCUUAAAUUGACAUGGACGGAUUCAACAUAAAGAUAGCUGACGCCUUCACGUCUUCAAAAUUAUUCAUUAAUGAGAAUCAUCUAAGAAAUGAGAGAACAUGGUUUUGAUAUGGUCAUCAAGAGUGGGUGAAAGAUUGAUGAAGAAAAAGGUCCAAAUCGCCUAAACUCAUAUAAAGCUAUCAGUAGAAGAACACCUUUUCAUGCAAUUAUGUCUUUGAUGCCAUAGUUUGAGAAGACGACGACUUCUACACCAUCAACAAUGAUACUGGCGGGCAAAAUGUCUCCGACCAUAACCUUACUUUUAUUCGAUUUAAUUUUUAAUUUUUAAUUUUUUUUUUAUAUUUACAUUUUGGACUAUACCCUUUUUAUGGUAACCUCUGAGGUAUUUCUAGGCUCUAUAAAUAAGAGUCCUAAAUCCCUGAUCAAUUAAGAAUCAAGAUAUCAUUAUAAUUUGUCCACUUGUUUAUAUAUGUGUCUAUCAUUUGGCUGUAAUCACACUCAUAAGAGAGAGAAUACCAAUUGAAUCUUGAACUAAAAAUCUCCAUUAAUCUUGCACAUAAAGAUGAGAUUUUACCAUAAAAUAAUUAUUAUAUUUUAAAUUUUUAUCUUUAUAUUUCGUUAUUUAAAUAUUUUUAUUAAUUUUUAAUCAAAAUCCGAAUUUUUUUUUUACCCCGACAACAUUGGAGAGAACGUCAAACUAAGUCAUUAUCAAAUUACUAGAGAACCGACAUCUCAAUAAAAUCAUGUCUAUCAUAUUUUCACUUGAAUACCACACUUGAAUAUGGUAUCUCCAAUACUUUUACCAUAUGUGACUAAUAUGAUAAUUCUCCUCAAACAUUAUCGAUUAUAUCAUAUCUAUCGUAUGUUUUCCAAAUUCAAUAUAAUAUAAUUAUACUUAGAUUAAGAAAUAUAUAAAACUAUUAUCGACAUCAAUGCACAUUUGUGCAUGCAAUAAUCUUAAAACCUCAUCGUAAAAACUCCCCUUAAGACAUCAACAAAAAAAAAUAAACAUGUAAUAAAAGCCAUCAUCCAAUUAGAACAAUCAAAUUUCUAACUUAACAUCAUCUUAUGCCUUUUAUUAUCUUCAUCGAUUCAAUGGCCAACUGAUUUAAUAUUAAACAGUAUUAUAUCUAUAAAUUUGAAUUUUACAAGAAUAUAUAUACAUAUAAAUACCAAUUUGCGGUGGUAAAUACUAAUUUUUAAUGUCGUCUGUUGUAGCCGCGAGUGCAUUCGUUGAGAGGACAUGUGGCGAUUCCGUUUCAUGCGGGCACAGCUGGGAACGAAUCUCGCUAACGUGCUGCAAACAGAUUGGAACGAAUAACACCGACAGUUUCGACUCCCUCCUCUCGUCCUUAUCCCCCUCCUCUCUCUCUCUCUCUCUCUCUCUCUCUAUCUCUCGUCUCCGCAGCCCCUAGCGUUUACUUUGGGGGUACGCUCAUCCUCCAUCCAUCCCACCAGAAGAUCGGUUGGUACGGGCUCCCCAAUCAUGCCGUCCGGCAACUCGCACUCUUCCUCCUCCCAACCCAAGCGGGAAUUGCCUGCUCUGCUCCACGCCGCCCGCCCGUUCCUGCGCGGCGAGCUCGAGCGCGUCGACCCUUCCCUCCCCUCCCUCCUCGCAGUCCUCCGCUCUGUCGGCGCCGGUGAGUGCUGGCACAAGCACAGCACCUUCCUUGCUCACCUUUCCGACGUCUACCGUGCUCUCAAGCUCUGGUGCGUCCCCGACGCCGUCGCCCGCUGCGGCCUCUUCCACUCCGCUUACUCCAAUUCCUACGUCAACCUCGCCAUCUUCGACCCCGGCACCGGCCGCGACCGCGUCCGCGACCUCGUCGGCAUCCCCGCCGAACGCCUCAUCCACCUCUUCUGCAUCGUUCCACGCCAGCCGCUCAUCCACGACGACCUCCUCUUCCACUACUCCGACGCCGAUCUCGCCAACCACCUCGCGCUCUCCGAGGACUCCCUCCGCCAGGCCAGGGAGGGCGGCGCCUCCGACCCCACCGAACCGUGGCGGGCAAAGCUCCGCACGCUUCUCCCGCCAGAAGGGAUAAAGGUCAGGCACAUAAGGACCGGGGAGGACGUGCCGCUGUCGCGAAGGCUGGUGGCCACUUUCCUCCUGAUGACCAUGGCCGACUUCGCCGACCAGCUAUUCGACUUCCAAGACAAGCUCUUCGACAACGACGACGGCCGGCUGACCUUCCACGGGAACAGCUGGUCGACGCUGUGGCCGGGCCAAGGGAAGCCAGGCCUGUGGCUCAACUCCAUCUCCAAGAUGGGCGCCUUGUAUUCGCUCAUAGCCAGAGAGGAGGAGAUCUACAUGGAGGAGAGGAAAAGAGCAGGGCAAGGCGGAGAAGCUCUGUGUAGCAGCGAAAGGGACGAAGAGAUUGAGCUGGUCAUCCCGCCGGUGUUCGACAACUGCACCAAGCUUCUGGCCGCAAAGGAGCAGAUUCUGGCAAGGGACUUGUACUGGGAAGCUGUGUGUUCUGGCGGAGAGGAGGAGCAGGGGUGGGAGAGGGUGAAGAAGCUACUAAUUGAAAGCUGUGAGAAGAACCCAUUCGUGGGGGAGCCUCACCUGGUGCUGGGGCAGGUGUAUCUGAACCUGGGCAAGUAUGAGGAGGCCGAGUGGGAGGCGGAGAAGGGGCUGAAGCUGAUACUGGAGUGGGGGAGCAGCUGGGACAAGAGGAUGUCUUGGGAGGGGUGGGUGGCUUGGGGGAGAGUGCUGCUGACAAAGGCAGAGGAGAGGUCAUGGCCCCAGACUUCAUGGGGGAUCCUCAAUCUGGGUCUCGUCAAAUGAAACAAAGGUACUGUUGUUGGCUUCUAUCAACAGAAGAAUAAAUGUUGGAUAUUAACAACACAAAGUUACUGCAAGCCUAAUCAGCAUGCAUCGUAUUUAUUUUACCAUAAUGACAAAGUUUUAUGGCUGUUGUUAAACUGAUGAAGGAAGGUUCCAUCUGGUUAAUGUAUUGAUUCUGAUGACAAAAUCAUAUACCAAUCGGAGAAAUGAUGCACAAAUAAUUUACUGGAUCGAAAUCUUUGGAAGUUUAUGAAUGCUUGGAUGCAACUGGACAAUAAAUAGACAAGACUCCUCCUCCUAAGGAAAGAGGGAAAACAGCGGGCCUUGAAGUCAUGUCAAUAGACGACGGUUCCCAAAAAUAUGUGGUAAAGAAAUCAAAGAUAUAUUUGUAGAACAAUCUAAUUAUCGUGUUGAAUUCAAUUACGUGCUUUCCAUAAAAAGUACCACAAAAGACCCAGUUCUACAUACCCAGGCACUGAUUGCGGGAAACGUUGGACUUCAAGAGGACAUAUGAAUGGUGAAAUAUGACAAGGAUUUCAUCUUUCGUCUUCCGAUCAAGUGCUCGAAACAAAUUUUAACCGAAGCGAUUAUAAUCAGCCGAUCUAUGUAAGAUAAUAAGAAAACCCUAAAAUGAAGAGAAUAAAAGAAACAUCCUGAACCUUACCUUCAAGCACAACAAGAUGCAGCAUAUCGGUCAUCAACUACGAACUAGCAGCCGGAAAUUUUCAUCGCAAGAUUUAGGGCUAAUCUGGGGUUGUGACUGCGGGAAUCAAUAUGCCUUGGUUGGUUCUUGAAGGCAUUCAUUCGCCUACGAUCAAUGUCAUGAGAUCGCUACCAUAUGUAAUCGAGAUGCAGGAAUACAACUAUCAAGAAAGAAGAGUUUGAUCAAAGGAAGAGGAGGAGGGUCUACAAUAACACUUACAUGCUCCGGAUGUCUCCUCGUCGAGUUUGGGAUGCUUGUUCGUCGAUUUGGUGUUUCAUCGACGGGAAGAAAAGACCGACCCCUUUGAGAGCAUGCGCUUCACGGCCUUCAUCAAACCAUGCUAAGGUAUCUG
Molecule: long non-coding RNA, 4514 nt
Filed under: Musa acuminata (dwarf banana)
Lineage: Eukaryota; Viridiplantae; Streptophyta; Magnoliopsida; Zingiberales; Musaceae
Description: long non-coding RNA (MACU_LNC007610)
Source: RNAcentral